Molecule: non-coding RNA, 6175 nt
Organism: Sus scrofa (pig)
Lineage: Eukaryota; Metazoa; Chordata; Mammalia; Artiodactyla; Suidae
Source: RefSeq, a predicted model, not a curated record
AAUGGUUCUGGCCUUGUGUAUGGAAAGGAGAAAUUCACGUGGUAUCAGAGAACUUUCUACAUGGACAUUGCAGAGCCUGUACGACUUGGAACUUGUCCUAACCCUUUGCUUAAGAGAACAACGCAAUCCUAAACCCACCUCCCUUGCAGAUUGGUGUAUCCAGACCUGAAUUCUGGCAAUAGAAUGCUGUUUGGAAAUAAAGUGUAACACUUCCUGGCAUGGCCCAUAAAAAUCUCACGAGUACACUAUUCUCUCAUCUUCUUCUGCUGGCUGACUGAAGAGGACUCCAGAGACCUAUGAAAAACACAAACUUGUGGACAGAAACCUGGAACAGAUCCUGUUGCCGUGCUUUGCCACCCCAAUCAGAUGUAAGCAAGAAAUAACAUUUAUUUGAAGAAGAGGAAUAAGUCACUUUCCAAUGUAUAAAAAAAUUCCAGAGCUUAGUUCAAAGCCAUUGGAUUUACCAAGGUAAACAACAUUUGAAUAGGAUGGUUACUUUAAAGAUGACAGUCACUCCCAGGAGGGAAAUAAUAUGUUGCAAGUUUGAAAGUAAAUGGAUUAUUUAAGGUGUCAUUUCAUGAAAAGGAAAUAAUGUCUUUGAUAUCCCAAGCACCAAGAGAGAAUUUAACACAGUAUGAUACACUAGAGAUAACAAAAAAAGAUAGUUUUAAGAAAAAAAUUUACAUUGUUUUCUUCUUCCAUCAUAGAAAGAAGAUUGGGUAUAUGAGACAAGUUGGGGGGUGGAAUUUAAGGAGGGAAAGAAAUGGAUACAAAUCAGAAGAUAUAAGGAGAAAUUAAUAAAGCCAAAUACAGAUUGUUAAAUGAUAGUGGAAAUAGGUCAUGUUUCACGUAACUAUAUUUUUUAAAAACUAUAGUCAUCAUGGAAUAUCCUACAUCCUGGUACUUGUUUAUCUUCUAAACAUACUGCCUAUUACAAUUAGAGUGCACUACUGGUGGGAAUGUAGUUUUACAGCCAUUGUGAAGAUUCCUCCAAAAAUUAAAACUAGAACUACCAUUUGAUUUGGAAAUCCCACUUUUGCACUGUCACUUCCAUGCUACCCUUACCUACCACACUACAGAGAACUGAACACUAGGCUUGCUCUUAAUGCAAAAGGCAUAGCUUUACAGUCAGAAUAGGAAUAGAGGACUUGCCUGACUAUUUUAUUUCUGGUAGGAAAGAGAUGGACUUUAGAUGAAGCAAAGCCAUGGGUUUGGGAAGUUGUUCCCUGGCCUUUAACUUGCUUGUAGCUAUCAACCUAUUUAGUUGUUGACUCAUUAGGUAACUUAGAAUAUAUUUUGCAAUGUUUUGUUCUUAGAAGAUUUACCAAGAAAUUACAUUUAUUAAAAUUAAACAUGCUAUUAUUGUUAUACUAAUGACAUUUUUAAAGACAAAGUGGGUAUUAGGUGAUUAUGACCUUAAAAAAAAUAUCCCUAGGGGUCCCACUGUGGUGUGGUGGGUUAAGAAUCUGACUGCAGUGGCUCAGGCUGCUGCGGAGGGGCAAGUUGGAUCCCUUGGCCUGGUUAAAAGGAUCUGGUUUUAUUGCAGCACUGGCAUAGGUGACAGCUGUGGUUUGGAUUCAACCCCUGGCCCAAGAACUUCCAUAUAUCACAGCCUUAAAAAAAGCAAUUUCUAAUACAACUGUGGAAAAAUUAAGAAUCAGUUUUCCUGAGGUGUGAAACUCAAACUCAGCCAGUGCUAUCGACCCUGAAAAUAUGUGAACUGAUUAAUGUGGCGUUUCUACAGAGUUUGCCUGGGAAGUGAUGAACAAGCCAGGGUGGUUGGCUUCCUCCUCCAAAUCAACCUUGGAGAAACUAUAGAAUCAUGAGGUAAAAAAGAAUUCAAGGAACUAACCACAAUGAAACUUCAUGAAGACAUCCUUGUGAGACUGAAGUCUGUGUUUGCUUCUAUGUAUAGAAGAGAAAUCUAUGAACCUACAAGCUGAAGUACUCAGGAAAUCCCUUUGGGAAUUGGACAUAAAUGAUAUUGUUGGAGAGUAUCAGAGACUGCUUGGGCAAAUGAACACGUGUGAAGUAUUCUUCAAAUAGAUCACAGAAAUUGCACAGAGGUUUGUUCCACAUACUUUACCAAUAAGGACCUCAAACUGCGGAGAACACAGAUAUUAUUUACUACAGAACCAGGAAGGAUUUUGAAGCCAUAGGAGGCAAUGUAAUCUCAUUUCAUGAAAUUUGGCUUCUUGCAUGAGAACUAUAAUUUUACAAUUUCGAAGUAUGGAAGUUAACAUUGAAUUAUAAUAAAUUUAAUUUUAUAAUUUUUGUCUGUCUUCUCACUAGGAUGAUUCAACUUUCUCACUAUCUUUUUGUUACAGGGGAUGUAUUCUCUUCUUCGUGACACUCAGUCUUCUCAGAGCUUAUGACAUUCAGGUCUACUUUGAACUGGGUGCCUCUCUAUCUGCUAUACACCUGUCCUAGAAUUUCACUGUAUUCUCUUGGAAAGAUGGCUCUGGUUUGCUGUUUUUGUGUCUCAAUUCCUGUUUUCCUCUUUCUUUGGUUUCUUUUUUAUUUUUGCUAGGAAACAUCUUGUAAUAGUUGUUUGAAGAAGUGUAUCUGAAUAGUGAGUUUUGAAUCUGUAAAAUUUGAAACUGUUUUUAUUUUGUUUUGAGUGGUAGUGUAGUUUGGUUCAAAUUUAUUUAUUUAUAUUGGCUCAAAGUUAUUUUUCCCUCAAAACUUUGAAGGCAUUUUCUCACAUUUUUUCUAGAAUCAACAUUGUUCACAAGAAGCCUCAUGCUAUCCCAAGUCUCCUCACUUUGAAAGUCAUCCCCUUUAUCCUUUUUGAAACUUGUUAAAUUUUUCUUUGUUUCUAGGGUUCUGAAAUUUCUAGCGGCUAUUCAUGAGAAAUAAUUUUUAAAGAUUUUUUUUAUUAGUAAACUUUCAUUUUUAGAAGAGUUUUAGAUUUUAGUUAUGAAACACUGAGCAGAUUGUACAGAGUUCCCAUAUAUCCCACUCUACCACUAUAUUUCCCCAUUUAAUAACAUAUUAGUAUAUUUCCUACAUUUUAUGAUUCAAUGUUGAUACAUUAUUAUUAACAAAAGUCAAUAGUUUAUUCCUCUCUCCCUUUUUCUUAUCAGAUGAUUUUUUUUUUUUUUCUGUCUUAGGAUCCCAUCUGUGUUACCAGAUUACAUUUGUCCUGUCUUAGGCUCCUCUUGGCUGUGACAGUUUCUCAAACUUUCUCUGUUUUUGAUGACCUUGGCUAUGUUUAGGAUUACUGGUCAGGUAUAUUGUAGGAUGCCCUGGGGCUGGAAUUGUUCUGAAGUUUUCCACAUGAUUAGGCUGGAGUUGUAGGUCUUCAGGAGGAAGAUCACAGAAGUGAAGUGUCAUUUCAUUACAUAUCCUACCAGGAGUGCACAGUGUCAGCAUGAUUUAUGACUGUGGAUGUAGACCUUGAUCACCUGGUUGAAAGAGUAUUUUUCUGGUUUCUCCCCUUUCAAGUUACUCUUUUUUUCCCCCCUUUCCAUCUCCUGCUCUUUACAAGGGGCAAGAAGUUACACUGCCCUUCCUUUAGGGUAAAAUAUCUAUAUAAAUUAAUUUAGAUUUUUUAUGCAAGGGCUGUUUAUCUCUUCUCCCUAGUUUAUUCAUUUAUUUAUUGUUUAUUUCUAUCGGUAUGGACUCAUGAUAUUUAUUUCAUACUCUGGGUUAUAAUUCAAUACUAUUUUAUUUAUUUAUUUACCCAAAUUGUCCCAGCUUUGGCCACUGCGAGCUCUUUCUGUAUCUGUUUGACAUACCCCUAGCAUUGUGCUUUGAUUUUUUUCCCCCUAGCAUUUCCUUAAAUACUUUGUCACUAUAAGAGCUCAUGUUGUAUAUUUCCUGCUCCAGUCCUAGGAUUACCAUUAAUGCAGGGAGUCCCAGUUCUUUAUACUGAAAAAUAGUUUUAGAAACCAAGAUCUGGGCUUUAGAUGUUCUUGUUGCUACUGGGACGGCAUUGCUUCUAGGCCCUCUCUGGGGACAGAGCCUAGAUAUAUAUGUGUAUAUAUGCUAACUCAUGCUCAUGCACACACACAUUUCUAUAUGUAACAGUUAAAUACGAGCUCUUAUUGAUGUCGCCAACUUGAAUACAAUACUGCAUGGGUAUUAUUGCUUCCUUCCUUGCUUAUCUGUGAGUUUCCACUCCAAUAGUGAGAAACCUGGCUUCCUGGCCACUGCCAUCCAUUUACCUGUUUCAUUCCAUUCUAUAUGUAUAUCAGCAUCAGAAUUAUUAACCUGUGCAUCAUGGAAACAGUUUUACUAGCUACAGUACAAGCUUAUAUGCAGUUCCUUUUGCCUUUGGUUUUAAAGAUUCCAUUCAUUUCCAAGGUUAGUUUUGUCAGUACUUUUUCUCUCAGCAUACUGUUGAGGUUGCUCGAAGCUCUUGUAACACAGUUAGGUUCUUUUGUCAAAUUCUGCAUCUCAUCCUGAAUUAUUCCUACUGAAAGAGGGAUGUUGAAGUUUCCAAAUAUAAUAGUGGACCUGUUUGUUUCUUUCUGCAGGUCCCAAUUUAUAUUUUCUUUUUAUUUAAAGCAUUUGUUCCAAGUGCACAAUAAAAGUGAAUUUCAUUGAAUCCCAAGUGACCAAUACAUAGUACACAAUUUAUCUUUUGUAGCUCUGUAAAUUGAGGAAUUUUAAUUUCAUAAUUGGUGGGGAUGCUUCAUUUAUAGAUCUGCAAAUCUGUUAGGAAGAAUAUUGUUCCUUCAGGAUAGAAUGGGAAACUGAGGCAUGUAGAAGUAAGAGUUAUUUAAGAGUUUAUUCAUGUAUAGACUCUGAUUACUAUAUUUGCAUCAUGUUAUGGUAAAUAACAAUAGACACCUCUAUUUCUGAACAAAUUGAUCUGAAUUUACCCUAAGUUACUCUUCCUUUUUUGAUUUCUUGAUGCCUGCCUGUCUUCCUUCCUUCCUACUGUAUCCACAGCAUAUGGAAGUUCCUGGGCCAGGGAUUGAAUCUGAGCUGCAGCUGUGACUUAUGCCACUGCUGUGGCAAUGCAGGAUCCUUUAACACACUGCGUCUGGCUGGGAAUCGAAUUUGCACCUCCACAGUGACCGGAACUGCUGCAGUUGUAUUCUUAACCCAUUGCGCCAUGGCAAGGUCUCCUUGGUUUUCUAAAAUUAAUAUUCUGUCAUUGAGCACAAGAAAAUUUUAAGUAUUUUGGCAUGGUGGGGAAAUAAAAGCUUUUGUUUUAAUUCAGAAUCGUUUUUCUUAGUUUUAAAGAGAACUUGUGAAGUCAAAGCAUAAUAGACUUGAAGUGGAACUAAAUAAAUACUAUUGAUUUAUUUUUAUAGUACCUAGCGUCUGCCAUGAAUAAUGACAACGUUUUUGAAUAAUAGAGGAUUUAGUGCUUAUGUCAUGUUGGCAGUGGAUAAAAGUGCUAAUGCUUAAUAAUUGCCUUUUUGUAAAUUUGGCCUUGAUAAUAAGACAUAUUUUUAAGAAAUACAUGGCUGGUCAUAUAAUUUUAUGUAAAAGUAGUUCAAUAAGAAACAAAAAAACAACUUUAGUGAGUCUGAGUUAAAGAACAUGACCCAGUAAAAGCUCCGAUGAGCAUGAACGAUAAUGGUGAAUGGCAUAGACUUCCUUCCCUCCCCCACCAUCCCUGCUGAGAAUCCUUAAAGCAUGUAUAAUAAGCUCAUACUCUUUAAAAAUUAGGUCUAUCCAAGCAUACUUACCCUUUGCAUAGAAAGAGGUAGUUCAAGGUUAUGCUAAAUAAAAUAUUACAUGUGCCACCUACGCAAAAAAUUGCCUAAGGCAAUACAUUUACUUGUCCAUCUGCCUCAUGUCCAGAUUUAGCACAAACGUGUCUUCUGAACUGGAUUAAAUUUUCAGAAAAAUCCCCCAAAGACCCUCAAAAGAUGGACUAUAGCAUCCAAGGAAUUUUUAAUUAGAAAUGUUGCCCAAAAAAAACAAAGACAUGUACCUCUUACCCAUCAUUAUUGACAAGAACAAGGUAAUAAAAAGACAUGUAUUUUCCAUACACAAUGGUUAAGAGUAUAAGAAGUAGGGAUUGGGGAUAGAGAGAAGAGGAAUAGCACCAAACAUUUUGAGUGUCUGCUCUAUUCCAGGUUCUUAAAAAAAUUGUAGCUUAUAAUAGUUAAGCCAUCAUUAUGUUAAAUGAUUUAUAUGGAUUAUUUCAUUUCAUUCCCCACAACAUAGCUACAAAGGAAGCGCUAUUAUUUGUCUUUUUUUUGUCUUUUUA